UCCUGGGUGGCUCAGUCGGUUGAGCAUCUGACUUCGGCUCAGGUCAUGAUCUCGUGGUUCAUGGGUUCGAGCCCCAUGUCGGGCU
RNAcentral lists this transfer RNA (85 nucleotides) under Felis catus (domestic cat). It matches the Rfam family "tRNA". Rfam says of the family: Transfer RNA (tRNA) molecules are approximately 80 nucleotides in length. Their secondary structure includes four short double-helical elements and three loops (D, anti-codon, and T loops). Further hydrogen bonds mediate the characteristic L-shaped molecular structure. tRNAs have two regions of fundamental functional importance: the anti-codon, which is responsible for specific mRNA codon recognition, and the 3' end, to which the tRNAs corresponding amino acid is attached (by aminoacyl-tRNA synthetases). tRNAs cope with the degeneracy of the genetic code in two manners: having more than one tRNA (with a specific anti-codon) for a particular amino acid; and 'wobble' base-pairing, i.e. permitting non-standard base-pairing at the 3rd anti-codon position. Lineage: Eukaryota; Metazoa; Chordata; Mammalia; Carnivora; Felidae. The record is from Rfam by way of RNAcentral.